Long non-coding RNA from Esox lucius (northern pike), 461 nucleotides. NCBI's taxonomy places the organism in Eukaryota, Metazoa, Chordata, Actinopteri, Esociformes, Esocidae. The record is from Ensembl.
GUUUGUGCUGUUGUUCUAACACUGUUACACCAUUGUUUUCAUCAGUCAAGGCUGGUACAGGGACCACACCAUAACAUCAAUAUUAUGUUCUCCGGACCUGGAAUCUGUUUCCAUUCAGUGCAAACCUUACAGUUCAACCCAGAACUUCUGCUCAGUCAUUUUGGCAGGAGUUCACAUCACCUCAAGUCCCUGUGCCAUCUGAAGACAACAGCUACUGGCUGUCCCGAUAACUGGCAGGGUCUCGGCCCCCCAUCAAGCAGGCUCAGGAACAUUUUCUUUCCGGCUGCUGUAACCCUGCUGAACUCUGUGACCCAGCACUAACCAUACCCACCAAACUGCCCACCGCUUAGUACUGCCUCUCAGGGACCUUGUUUGUACUACUGGACUCUGACAAUGCUUUCCAAACUCUGAUAAGGAUGUUUUCAGUUGUUACAUGUCUACCUUGGGAACCUCAUUGCUGC